Long non-coding RNA from Patiria miniata (bat star), 453 nucleotides. RefSeq lists it as uncharacterized. The transcript has 3 exons. The record is from RefSeq and is a predicted model, not a curated record. Lineage: Eukaryota; Metazoa; Echinodermata; Asteroidea; Valvatida; Asterinidae.
AGAAACAAAUCGAUCGUAGUUGGACGAUUACAAAUCGCGCGCACUGCGCUGAUGCAAGGCACGAGUAGUGUACGUGUACGUGUGACAACAUCUCACGCGCGCGGCAGGCGUUUUUUUUUGUUUGGAUUGUGUUCGUGCGCGUCACGUCACGCGUCUGAUCGUAUACGUACCGUUUAUACUACACGUACGUACGUACGUACAUUGAAUCAUCGCUGCAUUACAAGGACGACAUCGAUCGACAGGCCGGCCCACUACUCACUGCGCUCGACUCGCCAUAUUGACCGAGAUCUGUCUAACGAAGUACCAAGUUUGUCUCAUUUCUCAAAAUGUGUGAUGAUGAUAUUGCUGCAUUGGUGAUUGACAAUGGGUCUGGUAUGUGUAAAGGUGGUUUUGCUGGUGAUGAUGCACCCAGAGCAGUCUUUCCCUCCAUUGUUGGAAGACCAAGACACCAGG